UAAUAGACUCAUCUCAAAAAUAAUUUAAAACUAUCAGUGACUAAUAGUCAACCAAAUAUUUCCAAUAUAUUACAUUCACAUCAGUUCUAGAAGUCCCAUUAAAUAUAUCUAUACUAAUUUAUGAUCAUAUAUGAAAUAAAUAAUUGUGAUUUACCCACAUGUUUUUUCCCUCCUCCCUUGUGUGUGGCUCACGUUAGUUUGAAAAUUUUAAAUGUGGCCUUGCAUAAAAAAGGGUUACCCAUCCCUGCUGUAAUUGACCUUGAGACACUUCAAUACUGCUCUAUACCCAAUACCACAUACCAUGCAGUAAAGCAGACUUGGCUG
This 324-nucleotide long non-coding RNA is filed under the name Androctonus crassicauda. The record is from RNAcentral. Lineage: Eukaryota; Metazoa; Arthropoda; Arachnida; Scorpiones; Buthidae.